CAACGAGAUAGCAAUGCACAGCUGUCUUAAAUCCUGCCCCCUUCAAACAUGGAAAAUUAGCCACUCAUGAGUUCAUCAACACGUCGUGUUACGGCAUUAUACAUUUCUGUGGAUCAAAUUCGAGUAAUCAAUUAAGCAAUGCCAGCCCACCAUAAACACGUUUCCAAAACGUACAGUUCCAUUUACAACCACGAAAACCAAUGGGCUACCAAGAAAACCAUAAUAUAAUGUAUCUAUUUCUAUGAUGAAACACACCGAUAUGUAGCUAUACCCAGGGGCGUUAUUUGGGGUCUUGCAUUGGAAUUAUAUUGAGUUCUGCUUAUAUCAUGCUAUAUCACAAUAAACGGAAUACAUCACAAUGGAAAAUGAGUCCAUUUGGAGCAGGCGAUUUCAGUCUGCAAAAACUGGCGAGCGACACUAAACUCAGCUUCCACCAAAUUUGUUUUGCUCAGAUCCAGCAGUGGUUUCACCUUUUUCACAUCUAUUAAGUCAUGGCUCUCUGGGUCAAGGGCACACAAGGCCUCCACCAGUUGGCUGUUGCAUUCACUGAAUCGUUCUGACAUUCUCACCAAUGACGGCAUUCAACAUGCUGAAGUACAGUCUUUUACACUCUGUCUCUUCUCCUCUGUCCUGCUGGCCUACUGUACUGUCCACCAUAUAGCCGGAGGUUUGUACUAACAUCAUCGUUUGCUUGGAGGUGGUGGCUCAAACGGCUUCGAACUCGCUGCCACACCUCAGCUUUUCGACGCACUCCAACCCACUUCGGACCACUUUGACUCCAUUGUAAAGAUCCGUUGCUUUUGCCUGGAGUAAUUUGCUUGGAGGAUGGAACAAGAAGACUGAGGUUUCUGUGCACCAUGUUGGCGACAAACAUAAACCCGGGGUCCGUCAUUUCCUUAAGCAGCGCUGUAGCCUCGAGUCUUACAUCUGUGUUGUACGAACACGUGCAUUCGAUGUCAGAGAGGAACUUCACAAUGCUAUCACAACUUUAACAACCACUGAUACAGUAGCCAGUUGUCCAGUCCAUUCUCUUCCUAUGAACUAGAUGCUAUUAAAUUAAAAAAAUUUGUACAGAGAAUCUGCAACUAGGGUAGGAUUCUAGGCUAACCUGGGCUGGCUCCUCUGUUCCAAGAUUGUCACGAACAGUCCGAGGUGCAGGGGGCUAACGAGCCAUUAUCCUGGCGCAGAGAUAGCAGAGAUGUUGCUGCUGCUCAUUGCUCUCCUACUCCAUUAGCUUUGUUUGGGAAGCCAAUUUCUGACAUCCAUCAUUGCAGCUGGUUCGAGCUAGCUAAAUAGGCUAAGGCUAAUAACACUAAUGCUUUUCACAGCUAGCUAAGAAGCUAACUAAACUCUGUAUUGGUGGGGCAUGAGUUGCUUCAAUGGUAAACUUGAUCCCGCCCUUAUAAAUCAAAAUCAAAUAUUACAGGUGAAGGCGUAUCAAGUUACUCACUUAGCCUACCACAGAUGAGAAACCUUUUAUCCCACUUUUUAUGGAAACCCAAAGGAGUCAUACCUAACCGUCCCAGUGGCUUUCCAAUUCCAAAGCCCUCCUACACACACCACGGUGCGCUCUGUCCAUUGUGCUGACACAGGGCAGUGGAGAUACAGAUUUUGCGCAAACCUGUCACUCAAUCGCUUUGACUUUUUUUGCAAUUUUUAUAUAGGGACAUUAAACUAAAACUGAGGGGGCACAAGUUUCAACUGAGGGGCCUAUGCCCCCCUUUCCCCCCUUGUGAAGCCGGGUAUGUAUUGACCAUUUAUACAGACCACAAUAUGUACUGACUACAACCCUCUGGGAGAUUAAGAUGAGCAGAGAAAUUCUUUCUCUAUCAUGGCCCAGGUGUUUGACGGAAAACAGCCAAUCUACAGACCACAUCUUCAGGUCAACCAUCUUUGAUUAGUUUGAUGGGCAUUAGUGGCUACAUUUGGGAGAUAUUGUGAUGAUCGAAGUCACUACCAGUAAAUGAAAUAGGAAGUGGAUCAACCUAUGUGCUGCACUUGUGACAGAUUUGUUGGCAGAUUCACAAUAAUGUGCCUUGCUAGAAUUGAUGGGCUGUGGUUGUGUAGAUGUUGUUAAUGAUGUGGGUUUUAAACCAGUUUGUUCAGGUGGCAGUCUUACAGAGUGUUCAGAAGCAGGGUGAGAGACAACCACACAUGUGAUUAGGACUCAUCACAUUCAACAAUCAGGUGUAAUGUUUCAUCCGUUUCCCAUUGACAUGAUUGACUAUUUCUGAGUGUUGAUAUCUAAUGAAAUUGUGUUUUCAUGCUCGUUACAUUCAUUGGCUGUAGGUAUUAAAUCUGUGUUUUCUGUGUGACAUUUCACAAUGCGGUUGGUGGGAGGAGCUAUAGGAGGACAGACUCAUUGUAAUGGCUGGCAUGGAAUUGUGGUUUCCAUGUGUUUGAUACUGUUCCAUUCAUUCCAUUCCAGCCAUUACAAUGACCCUAUCCUCCUAUAGCUUCUCCCACUAGCCUCCACUGAUUUCGAGUCAAUAUUCAUCCAAUAUUUGGCUGUGAAUCUAAAGUUGUUUUGAUCAGUAUAUUAAGAUCAUCCACUGAUGUUUGUCUUGCCAGGUGACUGCACGGAUAGGGACAUUUCUCCUCGCGUUUUUAGUGGGGUGCCGAGAUUCUACGGUAAUACGAGAGAGGCAAUAAGGGAACAAACAAACUCUACAUUUUAAUUCAAGGGCCCAUGUGGUCCAAGAGCAAAUAAGCCAUGGACUUAUUUUAAAGCUUGUCCAAUGAAGGAAUAAUUUAAUGAAAUAACGGUAUGUUGACACUCUUCUCUUUUCAUUAAAAGAUUGUCUAAGAGUGGUGCCUCGGCUCUAUGUCCAGCUUGUAGCCAUAGCGAUGGCAUCUCGGGAACCAGGGUCAAAAGCCAGACAGUCCUAUAGUUUCAGUGCCCCUGAAUACAUACGAUAUCUGUCUUGUUUAUGACAUUGUACCAUUGGAAUAUAUUGUCGUCUUCCCAGGUGAUUAUUUGCACCGAUGGAAAGGCCUACACAGACCUGGGGAAUCUGGAGGUGGAGGACAACAAUCAAGCUCGAUAUUUCCUCUACUCCACCAUCUUCUACCAAGACCUGGGCGAGUAUGCUGCUAGUCAGGUGUUGGUGCAACUCUACUGUCUUCACUAGCUCAAUUUUCACUUCUAUUUGAGUAUCACAGUGCAGUGGAGAACCUAUUUUACCUUGGAUUAACACAUUUUCAUACAGGCUAUGUUGAUAGUCUAUAAGGUGUUAACAGAAAUUAUAUGUAGUUAUUGAAUACUGUAAGCAAUCACUUAUGUUACCCUUUCUCUCAUAGGGUGACAGUGGCAGUGUUGGCCAUUGAGGGGAAAGACUGCAGACUUGAUGAGCAGGGGAGACCAGCAGGUCAUACAGGCGAAAAGGUGGUGAUAGCAAGCUAUAUAUAUAGCAAGCUAUAUGAACUACACACUGAAUUUGAGAUUAUAGAGAACAGGAUGAUAGCUACACAUUGUAGUGUGAAUUUGCUGCUCCCAACAACUCUGUGAAAAUCAUCACUCCCCAAUCAGUCACCAAUCAUCAAUCAGAAGACGCACCUCCUCCUGUUUCCUACCCAAUCGCCGUUCCUUUCCCUUUGUUUAAAAACCCUGUCAGUUGUUUGCUGUGGAGCUCAAUCUCUCUGUAAAUGCCAUGUCUGUAGGUCUCUUUGUUUCACUCGCUCUUUGUGUAUUGACCUCUCUUUUGUUUGAGCACCUCCAUAGCACUUUGUCAUCACCUGUGAGUAUUGUUUUGGUUAUGGUGUUUGUUUGUUUGCUGGUGGGAAAAGGGGGAACCAAGACAAGUCGCCCAUGGGCAUACACUACCCGUAGGUAAACUUUGUUAAAUACACUAGUUAGAACUGGGCGGACCACCCACUGUAUUUUUGGUUAGUUAGUUAGCUGUUGUUAAAGUAGGCUAGUCUAGCUUAGGGGUGUUUUUGAAUACUUAUUGUUUCUUUCCUUGGGUCCAGCUCAGCCCCUUUUCCUGCCCCCCCCAUUACCGUGUGUUUAUUAAU
This is a long non-coding RNA of Oncorhynchus nerka (sockeye salmon), 4014 nucleotides long. RefSeq lists it as uncharacterized. The record is from RefSeq and is a predicted model, not a curated record. The transcript has 3 exons. Lineage: Eukaryota; Metazoa; Chordata; Actinopteri; Salmoniformes; Salmonidae.